Molecule: non-coding RNA, 87 nt
Organism: Echria macrotheca
Lineage: Eukaryota; Fungi; Ascomycota; Sordariomycetes; Sordariales; Schizotheciaceae
Source: the annotation of a GenBank genome assembly
GCCCUCGUGGCGCAAUGGCAGCGCGUUAGACUUCUAUUGCUGAAACAUGUGAUCUAAAGGCUGUGAGUUCAAUCCUCACCGGGGGUG